Molecule: ribosomal RNA, 508 nt
Filed under: uncultured bacterium
Lineage: Bacteria
Description: partial 16S ribosomal RNA
Rfam family: Bacterial small subunit ribosomal RNA
Source: RNAcentral
GACGAACGCUGGCGGCGUGCCUAAUACAUGCAAGUCGAACGCUUCUUUCCUCCCGAGUGCUUGCACUCAAUUGGAAAGAGGAGUGGCGGACGGGUGAGUAACACGUGGGUAACCUACCCAUCAGAGUGGGAGAACACUUGGAAACAGGUGCUAAUACCGCAUAACAGUUUAUGCCGCAUGGCAUAAGAGUGAAAGGCGCUUUCGGGUGUCGCUGAUGGAUGGACCCGCGGUGCAUUAGCUAGUUGGUGAGGUAACGGCUCACCAAGGCCACGAUGCAUAGCCGACCUGAGAGGGUGAUCGGCCACACUGGGACUGAGACACGGCCCAGACUCCUACGGGAGGCAGCAGUAGGGAAUCUUCGGCAAUGGACGAAAGUCUGACCGAGCAACGCCGCGUGAGUGAAGAAGGUUUUCGGAUCGUAAAACUCUGUUGUUAGAGAAGAACAAGGACGUUAGUAACUGAACGUCCCCUGACGGUAUCUAACCAGAAAGACACGGCUAACUACGUG